RNAcentral lists this ribosomal RNA (2816 nucleotides) under Triticum aestivum (bread wheat). Its description in RNAcentral is "partial small subunit ribosomal RNA". The record is from RNAcentral. Lineage: Eukaryota; Viridiplantae; Streptophyta; Magnoliopsida; Poales; Poaceae.
GUUCUUCUCUCACUCGUAGGAGGGCUUCUUCGAAGGUAUCGGCCACGACCUAGAACGUUGGUCUGACCAAUCAAGAACGAGGUACCGACGACCAAGAGAAGGGGGGAGACAAAGGAGUAAUGCAAAGAGGUUUUAGACGCAGGGAUUACGCACAAAAGGUUAGAGGAGGCCUUGGACUACACCUAAAGCGGGAUAGGCGACUAGGAUUGCCCUAUUAGUAUCAAAAUGACGAGGGUUCCGGAGGAGGAUCAGAAAGAUUUAGUGAAGAGACUUCGAGAAGCGAAAAGGACAUCAUUUUAUGAGGAUGAAGAAGAGUCGUAGAAUUGUCUUUUUUUAUAAAAUUUUAACGAUCACGAGACAUCUGAACUAACUACUCACCUAAUUUUCUUGUUAUUUGUUUUGGAGAAGACUUCGGAAAAGUGACACAACGACCAACGAUCGACGAGGAGACGUACACGACGUCCAUCCGAAUGUACUGGCCAUCCAAAGGACGUCCGUCCGAGGGGCGUGACGUAGAUGGAAAGGAAAAAAAGGGUAGUAACCGGAGGGACAAGGAACGUGAAGUAUCGGGUCGACGAAAAGAAUAGGAUGUAUAAAAAUAUAGACUCUAAAGGAAACGACGAUAGUCUUCAAGAAAAAAAUUUCUUAUUAAUGUAGUCUCCAAGUUUCGUAAUAAUAAAGGUAUCAACCGGGACAGACCGUAGCGUGUACGGGACGAACGGAGUAGACUUCGGCUUAGUCCGACACGACGUGAUAGGAACCGUCCUCCGUGUAAACAAAUGCCUCGUCAGAGAAGAGCAACGGUUAGUUUAAAUUUUAUGGUACGGCGUACGUCUACUUCGUGUCAAGGAGUCGACUAAAACAACAAACUAAGAACGGUAGAGGAGACAAACGAACGAAGCCGUACGUCGCACGGGAGACGCCACUUCACUUCGCUUAGCGGUCAGCUGUGAACACUACUAGACUCGGUACUCGGUCAAGCACGGUCUAACCCCCUUGUACCCCCUGUAGAGGUCCGGUGAGCCGCUUCUGCUACUGGAGUACCUCGACGACACCACGUUGCCGUUACAGCAGUACGUCUCGGUCCCAGUAGCCUUCGACGGCGGCUCCGGACUCUUCCAGGGCCGCGGCGGCCACCACGUUCUUCUGCUACGGCCGGAGACCAAGGGCAAGCGCGAGCGGCUGAGCGAGCUGUUCCUGUAGAAGGUCCUGGAAAAGACGCUCCUUGGUGGCCCCCGCCGGCCGCAGCUGCCGCGGCCGUUCUAGCCGUCCCUGCCACAUGGUCAUAAUCCCCUACUGUCCGCGUCGUCGGUCAGCAGGCGCCACAGCCGCCGCUCGCUGGACUACGGGGGAGGGUUCAGGUGCGUGCAGAGGACGAGGUCGUCCGUCGUUAGCUACUCGGACCGGCUGACGCCGCUGUUGCGGCCGCCGCAGGACAGCCUGGAGCAGGUCCGAGCGCGGCCCUUCCGCCGCUACCUCCUCCCGCGCAGCAGCUGCGACUCGCGCUACCCCCGCUCGAAGACGCCCUCGUUGGUCCACGUCCACGUCCCGCGCCACUCGCUCGUCCCCGCGCGGCCGGUGUGGUGACGGAUACCGCCGCCGCCUCGCCCGUCGCGAGACGGAAGCCGCCAUCCCUCGCCUUUACGUUUGCGGUCUCCGUCCCCGGUGCUCCGGUGGCACCGGAGGAGCAGCCCGGCCAGGUUGAUGUCGAAGCCGCACUGGUGGUGGUGACCGUGGCUCGGCUGCUCGUGCUCGGUGGCCUCGUCGUUCGCGUUCGCCCCCGACCUGUGCCUCCUGAGCCUCUCGGGGUCGCUCCUGCGGCUCAGCCUCAGCAACCGCGAACUCGCGUUCGGCGGCGUCUUCGAGUGCUGCCGCUCCUCCUCGGCGCGGCGGCUCCACGUGUUGGAGAGGCUCUCCUCCUCUGCUCUGUCCUAGUUGCUCUUCUACGCUCGCGACGUUCUCGAGUAUGGGGUGACGUUGUUCUGACUGUUCCGCAGCUACGACCUGCUCCGCUAGCUCAUGGACUUCUGCGACGUCUACGUCCACGUCUACUACACCUACCCGCCGCCAUACCGCGGCGGCCGCCACUACAAGGGCCCGUACGUCUACGUGGUCAUGGACGGCGUCUACCCCGGCGGCAGGUACCGCGCCUACGGGAAGUACCGCGGCGGCGUCGUCCCGGUGCCGCACUCGGACGGCCUCGUCAUGCGCGUGAAGGAGCCGCAGUUGGGGGUGGUGGACGUCGGCGGGAGGGUGGUGGGGGUGGUGGUGGUCGUAAAGCGCGUCCCCCACCCGAUGAUGGGCGAUCCCCGCUUCCGGGACGUCGUCUCAGGCCGCGAGGUGGUGCACGGGUUACCGUUGUGACCGCGGCCGCGCGGACGGCGAUGGCGGUUGUGGCGCGGCCCCUUGCGCUAUGUGGGUUUGUUUUCUACUCCCAUUAAUGUUUUUGUUCAAUUCUCCUUGUUAUUUUUCCUUUCCUCGACGUCGCAUGCAGUGUCGUUGUUAUAUGUACCUCUUCUCCUUGCGGCUACGCUUUGUUCGCCAACCGCAGAAGAAGGUAGAAGACGGGGUAUACUCUAGGGCCGUCCUUUUAACAUCGUUUAGCGCGCCUAGAGAAAGAAGUAAAAACGACCCUUUAGCACGCUUACAGAUCAGAUCGAUUGACUAAUAUAACAAUUAUAUUGGAAAACCCAAAAUGAGGACUAUGAUGGACCCCAACAACGGAUAACUAACCCGUACGUGGGACGAACAUGAUUAUAACUUGAAGGUAAAGACAAUAGAAAACACUCGGUUAUACAAGUCAUAGUUACAAAACC